Molecule: ribosomal RNA, 480 nt
Filed under: uncultured bacterium
Lineage: Bacteria
Description: partial 16S ribosomal RNA
Rfam family: Bacterial small subunit ribosomal RNA
Source: RNAcentral
GACGAACGCUGGCGGCGUGCUUAACACAUGCAAGUCGAACGAUGAAGAAAAGAAUUGAAGCUUCGGCAGAAAUUCAUUUCGGAUUAGUGGCAGACGGGUGAGUAACGCGUGAGCAACCUACCUCUUACAAAGGGAUAGCCUCGGGAAACCGGGAUUAAUACCAUAUAACAUUGCGACGAAGCAUUUCGAUGCAAUCAAAGCUACGGCGGUAAGAGAUGGGCUCGCGUCCCAUUAACCAGAUGGUGAGGUAACGGCUCACCAUAGUAACGAUGGUUAACCGGCCAGAGAGAGGGAACGCUCACACUGAAGCUAAGACACGGUCCAGACUCCUACGGGAGGCAGCAGUGGGGAAUAUUGCACAAUGGAGGGAACGCUGAUGCAGCGACGCCGCGUGAGUGAUGAAGGAAUUCGUUUCGUAAAACGCUGUUCUAUGGGAAGAAAAGGACUGUACCAUAGGAGAAAGCUCCGGCUAAAUACGUG